GGUGAUGUAACUCAAUGUUACAGUGCUUGCCUAGCAUGCACAAAACUCUGGGUUCCAUACCCAGCAUCACAU
Molecule: transfer RNA, 72 nt
Filed under: Ictidomys tridecemlineatus (thirteen-lined ground squirrel)
Lineage: Eukaryota; Metazoa; Chordata; Mammalia; Rodentia; Sciuridae
Description: Spermophilus tridecemlineatus (thirteen-lined ground squirrel) tRNA
Rfam family: tRNA
About the family: Transfer RNA (tRNA) molecules are approximately 80 nucleotides in length. Their secondary structure includes four short double-helical elements and three loops (D, anti-codon, and T loops).
Source: Rfam by way of RNAcentral